This is a non-coding RNA of Maylandia zebra (zebra mbuna), 1366 nucleotides long. The record is from RefSeq and is a predicted model, not a curated record. NCBI's taxonomy places the organism in Eukaryota, Metazoa, Chordata, Actinopteri, Cichliformes, Cichlidae.
UCACAGGUGAAACACAAUCGCCUCGUACAGGAGAUGAACCAUCCAACAGCAGGACGCAUCGCUGUCGUCGGUCCGGCGGUUCGUUUCAGCAGCUUCUCUCCAAGCGGCCCGACACCCCCUCCUCUGAUUGGCCAGCACACCGUAGAGGUGCUGCGAGACGUCUUAUCGUACAGCAAUGAAGUUAUAGAAACCCUGCUGGAGUCAAAAGCAGUGGUUCAGAAUGAAGUCUUGUGAUUGGCCGAAAGAAAAAUAAUUAACAAGAGAAAGGAAAAGACAAAAACUGAUCAUUUUUACCUGAUCACUAGUUUUGAUUUUAAAGGACUGAUCAUUAAACAUUUAGAUUUCAGCUGACGAUAAGUUCAUAUUUCCAUUUUUAAAUGUAUUUUUUAAUGAUUUAUGAACAAUUUCUGUAUACGGAGUGUUUUUACACAAAUAUGAAGCUGAUUCUUCUAACAUCUUUGUGUUUUAUGACUCUACAGUAACAAUUCAGUAACUCUACAGAAUUCUACAGUAACACUACAGUAACACUACAGUAACUCUACAGAACUCUACAGUAACUCUACAUAACUCUAUAGUAAGACUACAGUAACUCUACAGUAAGUCUACAGUAACACUACAGUAACUCUACAGAACUCUACAGUAACACUACAGUAACUCUACAGAAUUCUACAGUAACACUACAGUAACUCUACAGUAACUCUACAGAACUCUAUAGUAAGACUACAGUAACUCUACAGUAACUCUACAGAAUUCUACAGUAACUCUACAUAACUCUAUAGUAAGACUACAGUAACUCUAUAGUAACACUACAGUAACUCUACAGUAACUCUACAUAAUUCUAUAGUAACUCUACAGUAACAUUACAGAACUCUACAGUAACAAGUCAGUAACUCUACAGAAUUCUACAGUAACACUACAGUAACACUACAGUAACACUACAGUAACUCUACAGAACUCUAUAGUAACUCUACAUAACUCUAUAGUAAGACUACAGUAACUCUAUAGUAACACUACAGUAACUCUACAGUAACUCUACAUAAUUCUAUAGUAACUCUACAGUAACAUUACAGAACUCUACAGUAACACUACAGUAACUCUACAGAAUUCUACAGUAACACUACAGUAACUCUACAGUAACUCUACAGUAACUCUACAGUAACUCUACAGUCAUACUGUUCUAACUCUACAGGACACUGAUGAUUUUUGUCAGAUGUUCAGGUCAGUGUUUGAAACAACACGCUACAAAAUACCAAAGAAAGAUCACACCAUCAUGACCUUAUAAAAUGUUUCUCAAAGCAAAAUAUGUUUAUUGCACCUUAGAGCUGUUUAUGAACUUGCUUUUAAAUAAAACUUUUGAAUCAUUUUA